RNAcentral lists this ribosomal RNA (253 nucleotides) under uncultured bacterium. Its description in RNAcentral is "partial 16S ribosomal RNA". It matches the Rfam family "Bacterial small subunit ribosomal RNA", at positions 524 to 776 of the family's 1533-position model. The record is from RNAcentral.
UACGUAGGGGGCAAGCGUUGUCCGGAAUUAUUGGGCGUAAAGGGCGCGUAGGCGGAUAGUUAAGUCCGGUGUGAAAGAUCAGGGCUCAACCCUGAGAGUGCAUCGGAAACUGGUUAUCUUGAGGACAGGAGAGGAAAGUGGAAUUCCUAGUGUAGCGGUGAAAUGCGUAGAUAUUAGGAGGAACACCAGUGGCGAAGGCGACUUUCUGGACUGUAACUGACGCUGAGGCAUGAAAGCGUGGGGAGCAAACAGG